Molecule: long non-coding RNA, 989 nt
Filed under: Helianthus annuus (common sunflower)
Lineage: Eukaryota; Viridiplantae; Streptophyta; Magnoliopsida; Asterales; Asteraceae
Description: hypothetical non coding rna
Source: RNAcentral
AAAAACAUAAUUUUGAACUGAUGGGAAAAUCGUAUUUUUAAGGGGAAAAAACUAAUGGCAAAACUGUAAAUUGAAACGGGGCAAAAUCGUAAUUUUUUAACCGGGGGUAAAUUUGAAAUAUUUAGCUGGGAGCAAAAGCGUAAAUUUAUUUUUAAGCGGGGGCGAAAACAUAAGUUUGGACUGAUGACAAAAUCGUAAUUUUAAAUCUGGAUAAAAUCGUAAUUUUGUUGGGCCAAUAGGGGAGUGCCAGGCAGCUGCCUGGCACUAUUACCCCUGCCGCCCUUUUUGCCCAAUUGAAGGGCUGAACUAUUACCGGCUGACGUCACCAACUUAUGUUUGUAGUAGUUUAAAUAUCGCGAUACAUCGGUAAUAUAUAUCAGUGAUAUAUCAGUUAUCGGUCCCCCAGUGAGAUAUCGGUACCGAUAUUAUCGGCGAUAUUGAUCGAUAUAUCACCGACUUUCCCAAUAGCAUUACCUUUCUUCUUAGGUCUACCAUACGUCUUUCUUCUUAUUGCUGCUAUUAGUGUUUUUUUGUCAUAAUUGUACAAUUGUUAGUGUUUUGCAAUUUGCAAUUUGCAAAGGGUUAAUUUGUUAAUUGCAGGAGAGUAUACUGAAUUGUUAGUGUUAAAUUGUUAUAUAUAUUAAUUCUGCAUAAUAUUAAUAUUACCGAAAUGGUCAAAAAGAUAUCGGUAAUUUUAAUAUAAUGCAGAAUUUUUAUAUAUACAUAUAUAUAUAUAUAGCAAUUUAACACCAAUUAUUCAGUGAUAUAUCGGUUAUAUCGGUCAAAUAUGGGUGAUAUAUCGGUUAUCGGUCAAAUAUCGGUGAUAUAUCAGUUAUAUCGGUCAAAUAUCGGUGAUAUAUCGGUUAUAUCGGUCAAUAUCACCGAUAAUAUCGGUACUGAUAUUUUGACCGAUAUUUGACACCGAUAUUUUACUAAGGGUCCGAUAUGACCGAUGUAACCGAUAUAUCACCGAUAUAUCAACGAUAUUA